RNAcentral lists this ribosomal RNA (432 nucleotides) under uncultured bacterium. RNAcentral describes it as "partial 16S ribosomal RNA". It matches the Rfam family "Bacterial small subunit ribosomal RNA", at positions 29 to 506 of the family's 1533-position model. The record is from RNAcentral.
AACGAACGCUGGCGGCAUGCCUAACACAUGCAAGUCGAACGAGACCUUCGGGUCUAGUGGCGCACGGGUGCGUAACGCGUGGGAACCUGCCCUUAGGUUCGGAAUAACUCAGAGAAAUUUGAGCUAAUACCGGAUAAUGUCUUCGGACCAAAGAUUUAUCGCCUUUGGAUGGGCCCGCGUAGGAUUAGCUUGUUGGUGGGGUAAUGGCCUACCAAGGCGACGAUCCUUAGCUGGUCUGAGAGGAUGAUCAGCCACACUGGGACUGAGACACGGCCCAGACUCCUACGGGAGGCAGCAGUGGGGAAGAUUGGACAAUGGGCGAAAGCCUGAUCCAGCAAUGCCGCGUGAGUGAUGAAGGCCUUAGGGUUGUAAAGCUCUUUUACCAGGGAUGAUAAUGACAGUACCGGGAGAAUAAGCUCCGGCUAACUCCGU